UUGAAGGUACUGUGAAUUUUG
Molecule: microRNA, 21 nt
Filed under: Echinococcus granulosus
Lineage: Eukaryota; Metazoa; Platyhelminthes; Cestoda; Cyclophyllidea; Taeniidae
Description: egr-miR-10255-5p
Source: miRBase by way of RNAcentral